Molecule: long non-coding RNA, 548 nt
Organism: Lates calcarifer (barramundi perch)
Lineage: Eukaryota; Metazoa; Chordata; Actinopteri; Centropomidae
Exons: 3
Source: RefSeq, a predicted model, not a curated record
CCAGGUGUCCCCACUUCAUCCAUGAUCAGAGUCCAUGAUCAUACAGCGAAGUUCUUUGAGACCAGGACUGAGGCCUGCAGGAUUCAAACAACCAUUAAAGCACAGAGAAGAGACACAGAUGUGAAGACAUUUCCAGAAGGUCUUCAGCUGCUGUCGUCUUCUCCUCCUGCAGAGACAAGGAAACUAUUAAACUAUUAAAUAUUUUUAUGACAUACUAUUCUGACAUUUUUUGACAGUUUUUAUGCCUUACAACUUCUUAUCCUAAUGUAGCCAUCCUACCUUCAUUUUCCACACUGACACCUCUACACAGUGUUUGUGGGUUAGGUCAGAUUUUCAUUUUAAUAUUUUGCUAUUUCAAACAGUGCAAUAUCAGUGCUCAAAAUCCAAUCUAUUACUGUGUAUCAUUUUUAUAUAUUGUUGUAUAUUACCUUGUUUUAUGUCUUAGAGAUAUAAUGCCCUUUUGUAUUUUUACUGUUGCAACACUGAAUUUCCCCGUUGUGGGACUGAUAAAGGAUUGUCCUACUCAAAUAAAUACUUCUGAACACUGA